GCAUUCUUAGCUCAGUUGGAUAGAGCUUCAACCUUCUAAGUUGCGGGACACAGGUUCAAAUCCUGUAGAAUGCU
This 74-nucleotide transfer RNA is filed under the name Chaetosphaeridium globosum. Its description in RNAcentral is "tRNA-Arg". It matches the Rfam family "tRNA". Rfam says of the family: Transfer RNA (tRNA) molecules are approximately 80 nucleotides in length. Their secondary structure includes four short double-helical elements and three loops (D, anti-codon, and T loops). Further hydrogen bonds mediate the characteristic L-shaped molecular structure. tRNAs have two regions of fundamental functional importance: the anti-codon, which is responsible for specific mRNA codon recognition, and the 3' end, to which the tRNAs corresponding amino acid is attached (by aminoacyl-tRNA synthetases). tRNAs cope with the degeneracy of the genetic code in two manners: having more than one tRNA (with a specific anti-codon) for a particular amino acid; and 'wobble' base-pairing, i.e. permitting non-standard base-pairing at the 3rd anti-codon position. Lineage: Eukaryota; Viridiplantae; Streptophyta; Coleochaetophyceae; Coleochaetales; Chaetosphaeridiaceae. The record is from RNAcentral.